Non-coding RNA from Phalacrocorax carbo (great cormorant), 874 nucleotides. Lineage: Eukaryota; Metazoa; Chordata; Aves; Suliformes; Phalacrocoracidae. The record is from RefSeq and is a predicted model, not a curated record.
CUGGACUACAUUACCCAGCGCGCUGCGCGGCCUGCCCCGCGCCGGGAGCGGCGCGGAGACGGGCGCGGUGCAUGCUGGGGCGGGUAGUCCUCGGGGUCCGCACCUGUGGCGGGACGGGUCCCGGCCGCUUGCCCCGGGCGCCCCCGCGGGGCCAUAGGUCUGCGGGAACGGCUAGGGGGCGACUGCAGCGGGGCGGCUAUGGCGCUCCACCGGGGACUGCCGGCCCUCCUGCGGCUGGGCGGCGGCUGUGCCUUGCGUAUAGAACCAGUGAAAAAAACCUAUGAAAUCUUCCAGAAAACCUUUCACCAAAACCAACACUGAACUCUCCAUUCGCUGGGACUUACAGAGUAAAGCCAAAAGUAGAGACUGAGGUCUAAAAAUGAAGGAUAUUGACAUGUGGAUUCAGACGUAGCACUGAACAAAAACACAUCCAGCCAUUGCCCAAGGAUACAGCAGUUUCCCUGCCUUUCCCUCGCCCUUGGACCUUACCGAUUCCAGCUGCAGCAAGAGUGCAGAAGACUCGGAGGCCCUAAUUCUAACACAAGCAACACUUUGCUCCCUGUAAUGUCAUUAUGGAGAGGGACAGUUCUCCACUACUGGAGAGGGGAGUCUUCUCCUCAUAUACGGCACAACACAGGGUCUCCACUGCACACUCUGAUACAGCAGGUAUACUUCCUUGCAAGCUGAUCUUUUUAAUCUGAUAACUUUAAAUAAGGUGAACUUUUCAGAAGACAUGCUUUAUUUAAAUAGUACAUAUUUUUGGUAAGAGAGAAGCUAUGUUAUAAAAAAGCCUGUGAAAGAUGCUUAUGGUAUGUUUUUAAAUGAGAAACAUCAGCAAAUAUGGAUCUCUAAAUACUAAAAUACUUAUGUAGUG